Molecule: RNA transcript, 4196 nt
Organism: Syngnathoides biaculeatus (alligator pipefish)
Lineage: Eukaryota; Metazoa; Chordata; Actinopteri; Syngnathiformes; Syngnathidae
Gene: slc26a6l1
Gene name: solute carrier family 26 member 6, like
Exons: 23
Source: RefSeq, a predicted model, not a curated record
AACACUAGUCUAGGAGGGGGGCUUUCUCUGAAACAGAAACAAAGUGGUAAUACAGUAUCAGAAUAUUAAUUUCUUUGCAGUAAAGUUGUUGAGCUUGACCGCAGCAAAAAUAUUAACAUGACAAUAUUAUAACAGUGACUCCUUCAGUAUUUCACUUUGCAUCUCGUAGGACUUUAACUGGACCGGACAUACAUGGACUAAUCAAUUAGCGAAUAAAGCCUUACCAAAUUCAUCAGCGUUUCUUGCUGGCCCCCCUGUCGGAAGAAGAUCAAAUAUGAUGUCUUUUAAUCAGGCUCCGUGUUAUUGUCGUCAGUCCGGAGGGUCUAAGUCAUUGCAAAGAUAUGUACCCCCUCCGCUGCUCUGGGCUUCCGAGCUACUGACCCCAAAAUAGACAGUGUUUGGUCGGCCUACAUCUUUUGAGGGUUAUAGUUGUCACAGAAGGUUAUUAUUCUUUAAUGUUAUUCCAUGUAGUCUGUUUUUAGAGUUAAAUUUGCACAUACUAUAUUUCUUUCUGUUUGAAGUCAUGUAUUAAAAUUUAUAGUUUGUUUGCCGAGUCACAUGCGCACCGCUCUGGAAUGACUGCAACGAAACUCUCACAGCUCCGACUCAAAUUUCACGAUUGCACUUUAUUAAAGGGCCAGCACACUGUUUGCAAGCAUGCGUACGGAAACACACCUUUCACGGUAUUUAACUUUUAGAAGCGGAUAGUGUGGUGUCACAUCAACCACGGUUUAACCUUGAAGUUGACAUAACACGGUUCAUUAGCCUUACUUUUGCUUCCAAAUGGAAAAUGAGCAGAAUGCAGUCAAUAAACACACGCCAAACACCCGUUAAAACUUCCCUUAAGUUAAUAUUUUCUCCUUACCAAACAUAAUCACAUCCUUUUUUUAAAAAAAAAAAAUGUCAAUGUGAAAACAAGUCCAUAAAGAGCAGUUCCUUCCACAACAUCCUGGUCUGAGUUAACAAUUAAGGCAACUUGAUGUAGCUACAUAUACUGAUCAAGACGAUCCAUAAUAUCCGUUUCACAGCUGACAGUUUAGGUCUUAUAAAGAGGCUGUGGAGUUAUUUUAGAGAAUCGUUUUUUUUCAGUACGACAGCUUGAAACAUUUAAGGCCAAAUGGAGUCAAGAUACAACUGUAGGAAAUACAGAAUUGAAAGGGAAGUACUAGAUGAGCAAGGAUUGGAAGAGUUGGCACAGAGAAAACCGUAUGCUGACAUUCGACCAUCGGUAAUUAGUCAACUUAAACAUUCCUUGAGAUGUACAGUACCCAAACUUAAACAUGGUGUUUUGAGCACUUUCCCUGUGUUAUAUUGGCUGCCCAAAUACUCAAUCGGGGACUACGGCAUGCCAGAUCUCAUUUCUGGCAUCAGUGUUGGAAUAAUGCACCUACCACAAGGUAUGGCAUAUGCAUUACUGGCUUCGCUUCCUCCUGUAUUUGGCCUGUACACCUCCCUCUAUCCAGCAUUAAUUUACUUCUUUUUUGGAACAUCACGUCAUAUUUCAGUCGGUACAUUUGCUGUGCUUAGCAUCAUGGUGGGCAGUGUAACCGAGAGACUUGCUCCAGAUGGUGAUUUUCUGAAACUGAACGGUACCAACGUCACAACAGAGGUCGACGUAGCUGCCCGGGACUCGUACAGGGUGCAAGUCGCUGCUGCUACCACUGUUCUAGGAGGACUUAUUCAGGUUGUGCUUGGUUUGGUGAAGUUUGGUUUUGUGGGAACGUACUUGUCUGAACCGCUGGUGCGGGCAUACACGACGGCUGCUGGAGUCCACGCUGUGGUGGCGCAACUGAAAUACGUCUUUGGGGUGUCACCGGCACGCUUUAACGGGGUGUUGUCACUGGUGUAUACUUUAAAGGAUGUUUGCAGCUUGCUGCCUCAGACCCACCUCCCCACGCUCGUCGUCAGUGCCGUGUCCAUGGUGCUGCUGAUUGGGGCCAAGGAGCUCAACUCCUUCCUGAGCUCACGGCUGCCACUUCCCAUCCCAGUGGAGCUCAUCACAAUUAUGGCAGCAACGCUGACAUCAAACUAUGCUCACUUGAAUCGAAACUACACUAUCCCAGUUGUUGGAGAAAUUCCAAGUGGCUUAAGUCCUCCAGUUGUACCAGAUGCGGGCAUUUUUGGUGAAGUCAUUGGAGACGCUUUCGCCCUCGCACUUGUAGCCUAUGCCAUAUCAAUUUCACUUGGAAAAACAUUUGCACUGAAGCAUGGAUACAGAGUAGACAACAACCAGGAGCUGGUAGCCCUGGGUCUCAGCAAUACAGUUGGGGGUUUCUUCCAAUGCUACGCUGUAUGUGCAUCCAUGUCUCGGAGUCUCAUUCAAGAGAGCACUGGUGGAAAAACCCAAAUGGCCGGAAUAGCAUCAGCUAUAAUUGUCUUGGUGACAAUACUGAAACUUGGUCCACUAUUCCAGGAACUACCAAAGGCAGUACUGGCAUCUAUAGUCUUUGUGAACCUGAAGGGUAUCUUCAAACAAUACUCCGACAUUGUUAUUCUAUGGAGGAGUAACAAGACUGAUUUGGUUUUGUGGUUGGUCACCUGGGUGUCGACUCUGCUGUUUAAUCUGGAUCUGGGCCUCGCAGCUGCCAUUAUGUUUGCUCUUCUUACUGUUAUCUUCAGGACCCAGCGGCCAACAUACUCUGUUCUGGGAAAUGUUGAAGGUUCAGAGCUGUAUGUGGAUGUAGAGACCCACAAAGAGGCAAGAGAAAUUCCAGGUAUUACAAUAUUCCGCUCUUCUGCCACGGUAUAUUUUGCUAAUGCCGAACUGUACCUAGACGCUUUGAAAAAAAAGAGCGGACUUGACAUCAGUAAAAUGAUUAUCUACAAGAAGAGAGAGCAGGCCAAAGAGAAACGUAGACAAAAGAGAGAAGAGAGAUGGGCAAUGAGACAAGCUAAGAGAGAGAUUCAUGCUGAGCAGACAGCACUGUUCUCUGUGGAGAAAGAGGCCAAGUGCUUGAGAAACACAAGCGUGACGAGAGAGGCCACUGAAAAUGAUGAUGGGAACAGGAUGGACAGGGAAAACGCUACAGUCUUUGUAAAACCCACCACACCAGAUAGUCAGUGUAGAUGGGAAUACUUGAAAGGAGGAAAUUCAGCCGGUACCAGUUUAGAAUGGAAGUCUGAGCCGAUGGAUGGAGACGCCACAACUCUGGGCUCCAGCAACGAAGACACCCUGAGCCGCGACCUGCAGCGCAUCUCUGUCGGGUCUCUCGGCAAGUGGACCUGGGACAUCCACUCCAUUAUCCUUGACCUCUCCACGGCUAACUUUAUUGACACAGUGGCUGUAAAGACCAUGAAAAAUAUUUUCCAAGACUUCAGUGAGAUUGACAUUGGCAUUUACUUGGCUGGUUGUCAGGCUUCUGUGGUCCAACAGCUGGAGCUCGGCCACUUCUUUUCCCACUCGAUUACAAAGAGACAUCUCUUCGCCUCUGUCCACGAUGCCGUGCUCUACUGUCUGCACCGUCGCGGACAUGAGUCCUCAAUUGAUAUGGACAGCAGCACCAAGCUUUAGGAACUUGAGCCAAUCAGGACAUCCAGUUCUUGACAAAGAAGCUUGUUGACCUGGGAUUCAGCGAUGUCAGCUCUCUCCUGCGCCUCCUCCAUCUCAUGCUGAACUUUCCUGUACCUGGUCAGUCACCAACGAUAUCCAUCUAUUCAUUUUCUUGGCUGCUUAUCCUCAUGAGGGUCGCAGGGAGUGCUGGAGCCUAUCCCAGACGUCAAUGGGAAACCGGAGUGCCCGGAGAAAACCCACGCAGGCACGGGGAGAACAUGUAAACUCCCCACAGGCGGGUCCAGGAUUGAACCACUGUGAGUCCAACGCUUUAUCAGGUUGUAAAGAACUGCCGCAGUAGCUUGUUCAGAAGAAAGUCAUGAGGGAGCAUCGUAACUAUAAACACUGGCAAACGCGUGGAUAUUUAUAUGGUUAUGAUGAUUUAUAAUUGGAAUUCUGUGGUACACCUGUCCAACCUGAAACUGAAACUGUUUCAUUUUUUACAGUAAUUACAGUAAAUGCUAUUUCCCUAUUAAGUAGUAGUAGAAAGUCGAGAAGUGAGCUGAGGUUAGUGUCAGUGAAGUCAACUCCAAACACUUUGCAAAGAGCAGCAGUUUCUUUAGUUUGUUUAUUACUCCUUCCAUCCAUCCAUUUUCUUUGCCGCUUAUCCUCACGAGGGUCGCGGGGAGUGCUGGAGCCUAUCCCA